UCUUGGAUUUGUAGGUAUCUUUCUCUCUGCACUUAUUCCCUAUGCAUAGUUUGGGAGUUAACUCAAGUCCCAUCUCUUCCACAAAGCCUUCUCUAGGAACUCUGUAAUGACAUCUUUCUUCACCAAGUGAACAAACUACUUAUUUGACGCUAACCAUAAAGACUAAUAGAGUUUAGGAAAGGAUGGGAUAACCUUGUAUGACCCCCUAUUUGGGAGAAACUAAAGUCAGAAAAUUUUCUGUGACCUGCCAGAGGUCAUACCACUACUCUGUGACAGAGAAGUCCUGGAAACAAGGACUCCUUUUUCCUAGAUAGGGCAGGUUACAGGUACAAGGCUCUCACUCUUUGGAAGACGAACGCAUGCCUUUCACUUCUUUGCAGCCUCCUAAAUGUCCAGCACAGUACUGAAAGUAAAGUGUUAGUUGCUCAGUCACGUCUGACUCUUUGCAACCCCAUGGACUAUAGCCUGCCAGGCUCCUCUGUCCAUGGAAUUCCCCAGGCAAGAAUACUAGAGUGGGUUACCAUUCCCUUCUCCAGGGAAUCUUCCUGACCCAGGGAUCAAACCCAGGUUUCCCGCAUUGUAGGCAGAUUCUUCAUCAUCAGAGCCACCAGGGAAGCCCCAGCACAGUAUUAGGUAAAUACUCAACAAAUGGGAAUAAGAUGGAAGGAGAAAGAGAUAAAAAGUGGGAAAGAAGAAGGGAGAGAACAAAGACUGUCUGGCUAAACUGGGAAAGCUAAGACAUCCACAUAGAUCUUGGGCUGGCUGGGAGGCCAGGACCCACCACCAUGCCAGCCCUCUCCUGAGAAGAGGAGAGAAGGCCAGCACCUGGAUCCUACCUGGAGACCACAGGGACACCCUGUCCCGGCCUCGAGUGGCCGCCCACCUCCACCCGUACUGAGGGACUUUCCCCAACCUCCGGCUCCCUGUGUGGCUGGUGACUCAAAACUUCUCCUGUUGUCCAAGAGAGACCUUUUUUCAAAAACUGUAUUAGAUAGCCGGGCUGCCUGGUUUACUCUGCAAAGAACCUUGGGGGUUCAGAGGGGCUGGUCUCCCUGGGGUAACUCAGGAGAUGGUGGAAGAGAAGAUAGACACCCCCAGAGGAGACCUGCAUUCCUCAGCAAGGCCAGGACUUCACUGCUGCCCUCCCCCACCCACUGUCCUUUUGCUCAACCAGAACCUCAAUCGGUAGAUCAACCGACUGAGUUGAUCUACCAGUGGAUUCACUGUCAUGGACAUCCUGUAGGCAGAGGGUGUCCCAAUGCACUCAGAACCCUCUUCACUGCCCUCUGCAUGUUAGCAUCUGCUCCAUCAAGAGCCAUGUUGGCAGUUGUCAAGUGUGAUGAGAAAGCCCAGUGCUCUCUAAGACACGCUCUCUUUUCUGGACUCUCCCAGGAAGACAUGUCCCAGUGUCCCUGCAGCCAUGGGUGGUCAUGUGGCAGAACUCUGGGACACUAGAAUAUGGAGAAAGUGUGAAUCUGGCCUCGAACAUCCCUGGUGAGGACCUCCACGCCCACUGCCUCCCCUCCCAGCCAGAUGCAAAGGAUCCAGGGAGUACCCAGGACCCCUGAAAGAUGGUAGGGCCACUGGGGAGAAGCCUGGUUCCCUAAUCACCACAGAGACGGCCAACCUGCCAACACUCUGUUGGAUCAUGAUAUGUGGGAAAUAAAGUUUUAACUGAGUCCAGCCCACUGAGAUUUGGGAAUUGUUUGUUUACAACAGAGAAACUUCCUACCUUUCAAGCUGAAGCUCAAUUUAAUUUAAAGACUUGUAUUAGUCAAGGUUCUCUGUAGAAACCAAACCAAUAGAACAGUGAGAGAGACAUUUUUUUUAAAUUGGCUCACACGAUUGUGGGAGCUGGCAAAUGCCAAAUCUGUAGGGCAGGCUGACAAGCUGGAAAUUCAGGUAAGAGUUGAUGUUGCAGCCUUGGGUCUGAAAUCCACAAAGCAAGCGAGCGGGCUGGAAGCUCAAGCAGCUUACCAUGCUGCAGUCGUUUUUAAAAAAUAAUCUUAUUUAUUUAUUUAUUUUGGCUGUGCUGGGUCUCCAUUGCUAUGAAGGCUGUUCUCUAGCUGCAGUGAGAAGGGCUUUUCUCUAGUUGCAGGGAGAGAGGGCUUUUCUCUAGUUGUGGUGCAGCGGGCUUCUCACUGCAGUGGCUCCUCUCGUUGCAGAGCACGGCCUCUAGGGUGCACGGGCUUCAGUAGUUGUGGCGAGUGAGUUCAGUUGUUCUGAUUCCUGGGCUCUCGAGCAGAGGCCCCAUAGUUGUGGCCACAGGCUUAGUUGAUCCACAGCAUGCGGGAUCAUCCCAGACCAGGGAUAGCACCCAUGUGUCCUGCCCUGGCAGGCGGAUUCUUUACCCCUGAGCCACCAGGGAAGCCCCACGCUGCAGUCUUGAGGCAGGAUUUAUCUUUCUUAGAGAAACCUCAGUCUUUGCUCUAAGGCCUUCAUCUGACUGAACGAGGCUCACCCAAUAAAGAGAGGGUAAUCUGUUUCACUCAAAAUCCCCUGAUUACAAUGUUAAUCACAUCUAACAAAUACCUUCACAGCAACUCCGAGACUCGUGUUUGACUACACAACUAGG
Bos taurus (domestic cattle) is the source of this 2575-nucleotide long non-coding RNA. Lineage: Eukaryota; Metazoa; Chordata; Mammalia; Artiodactyla; Bovidae. The record is from Ensembl.